GCUACCAUCCUCAGUGUUUUAUAUGCCUGAUAAAAAACUGAAAAUACUAAUUAUGAUUAUAAAAGCUAUCUACUCUGUAUUGAGUUUGUUCAAAAUGAGUUAGACCCUUAUUGAGAGAUUUAUCAUGCUCCUAAGAUCAAGACAUUUAUUUAGAAAGAUUCACUCUUCCGAAGUACUAUUGCAUUAGAGGCAUGGGCUAUGCAAAAAUAAAGAUAUUUUCGAGGAAAUAAAAAGGAGCAAGUGCUCGACAACCUCGCAGGAAAAAUGGACAAGUGUCCGGCAGUAGAAUUAGGGGUACCUCGGUAUCCAUUAAAAAAAAGGAGAAAAAAAUGAUAGCCCAUGGUCCCUCUAAUAAGCAAUAUGCCAGCAAGAGUUGACAAAGACUUUAAUUUCCAAAGUCUUUGAUCUAAGAGUAUGACAUUCCCC
RNAcentral lists this long non-coding RNA (426 nucleotides) under Sorghum bicolor (sorghum). RNAcentral's name for it is "long non-coding RNA (SBIC_LNC006638)". Lineage: Eukaryota; Viridiplantae; Streptophyta; Magnoliopsida; Poales; Poaceae. The record is from RNAcentral.